GGGCUCCUAGAACCCACUCUCCCCAAAGGCGAGUUUCCCAGGCGCCGCUCGUGCUGUUGCUGGAAAGCGAGCUCGCUGUAGACCGGCCGCGACACCAUGUAGCUGCAGCUGUACUCGGGGAGCUGCGGCGGCUCCGACCUGCCGCCUGGCGCUGCCAUGACCUGCGAGCCAGAGGACAGCGAGGAGGGAGGACACGCGACAAAGUUGCACAGGCUGGAGUACAGUGGUGCAAUCUCGGCUCACUGCAAUGUCCGCCUCCUGGGUUCAAGUGAUUCUCCUGCCUCAGUGGUACAAUCUUGGCUCACUGCAACGUCCGCCUCCAGGUUCAAGUGAUUCUUCUGCCUCAGCCUCCCGAGUAGCUGGGAUUACAGGCAUGAGCCACUUUGUUCCAAGAUCUCAUCCAGACAUGAUCUCAUUCUGUUGCCCAGGGUGAGUGCAGUGGCACCUUCAUGGCUCAUUGCAGUCUCGAUCUCCCAGGCUCAAGCGAUCCUCCCACCUCAGCCUCCCAAAGUGCUGGGAUUGCAGGCGUGAGCCACCUUGCCCAGCCCAUUCUGCAAUCUUCGGAAGGAAGUCACUAUAUGCAGCCUAUGCUUGAGGAGUGGGGAGUUGAAUUCCACAUCCUUGAGGGCAGAAUACCUAAAUAAAUUAUUUGGAAUUCUUCUGCAA
Molecule: long non-coding RNA, 666 nt
Organism: Homo sapiens (human)
Lineage: Eukaryota; Metazoa; Chordata; Mammalia; Primates; Hominidae
Gene: SLC26A4-AS1
Product: SLC26A4 antisense RNA 1
Source: Ensembl